UACAGAGGGUGCAAGCGUUAAUCGGAAUUACUGGGCGUAAAGGGCGCGUAGGCGGUUAUUUAAGUGGACGGUAAAAGACCCGGGCUUAACCCGGGGAGGUCCGUCCAAACGAAGUGACUAGAGUGAGGGAGAGGAGAGUGGAAUUUCCGGUGUAGCAGUGAAAUGCGUAGAUAUCGGAAGGAACAUUCGUGGCGAAGGCGGCUCUCUGGCCCUUGACUGACGCUGAGGCGCGAAGGCAUGGGGAGCAAACAGG
RNAcentral lists this ribosomal RNA (253 nucleotides) under uncultured bacterium. RNAcentral's name for it is "partial 16S ribosomal RNA". It matches the Rfam family "Bacterial small subunit ribosomal RNA", at positions 524 to 776 of the family's 1533-position model. The record is from RNAcentral.